CCCUUCGGGGCAUUGGAGACAGGUGGUGCAUGGUUGUCGUCAGCUCGUGUCGUGAGAUGUUGGGUUAAGUCCCGCAACGAGCGCAACCCCUAUUUCCAGUAGCCAGCAAGAAAGAUGGGAACUCUGGAGAGACUGCCCGGGAUAACUGGGAGGAAGGCGGGGAUGACGUCAAAUCAUCAUGCCCCUUAUGAUCAGGGCUACACACGUGCUACAAUGGCGUAAACAAAGGGAAGCGAAGUGGUGACACGAAGCAAAUCCGAAAAACAACGUCUCAGUUCGGAUUGUAGUCUGCAACUCGACUACAUGAAGCUGGAAUCGCUAGUAAUCGCGAAUCAGAAUGUCGCGGUGAAUACGUUCCCGGGUCUUGUACACACCGCCCGUCACACCAUGGGAGUCGGAAAUGCCCGAAGUCAGUGACCCAACCGAGAGGAGGGAGCUGCCGAAGGUGGAGCCGGUAACUGGGGUGAAGUCGUAACAAGGUAGCCGUAUCGGAAGGUGCGGCUGGAUCA
RNAcentral lists this ribosomal RNA (509 nucleotides) under uncultured bacterium. RNAcentral's name for it is "bacterial SSU rRNA". It matches the Rfam family "Bacterial small subunit ribosomal RNA", at positions 1016 to 1525 of the family's 1533-position model. The record is from RNAcentral.